The sequence is a transfer RNA, 92 nucleotides long. It matches the Rfam family "tRNA". From Rfam's summary of the family: Transfer RNA (tRNA) molecules are approximately 80 nucleotides in length. Their secondary structure includes four short double-helical elements and three loops (D, anti-codon, and T loops). Further hydrogen bonds mediate the characteristic L-shaped molecular structure. tRNAs have two regions of fundamental functional importance: the anti-codon, which is responsible for specific mRNA codon recognition, and the 3' end, to which the tRNAs corresponding amino acid is attached (by aminoacyl-tRNA synthetases). tRNAs cope with the degeneracy of the genetic code in two manners: having more than one tRNA (with a specific anti-codon) for a particular amino acid; and 'wobble' base-pairing, i.e. permitting non-standard base-pairing at the 3rd anti-codon position.
GGAGAUGUCGCCUAGCUUGGUCGAGGGCGCACGAUUGGAAAUCGUGUAACGCAGAAAUGUGUUCGAGAGUUCGAAUCUCUCCAUCUCCGCCA